This 458-nucleotide ribosomal RNA is filed under the name uncultured bacterium. RNAcentral's name for it is "partial 16S ribosomal RNA". It matches the Rfam family "Bacterial small subunit ribosomal RNA", at positions 339 to 795 of the family's 1533-position model. The record is from RNAcentral.
CUACGGGAGGCUCCAGUGAGGAAUAUUGGUCAAUGGGCGGAAGCCUGAACCAGCCAUCCCGCGUGCAGGAUGACAGCCCUAGAGGUUGUAAACUGCUUUUGUAUAGGAAGAAUAAGGAUUACGUGUAAUCCGAUGACUGUACUAUACGAAUAAGCACCGGCUAACUCCGUGCCAGCAGCCGCGGUAAUACGGAGGGUGCAAGCGUUAUCCGGAUUUAUUAGGUUUAAAGGGUGCGUAGGCGGAAGCUUAAGUCAGUGGUAAAAGGCAUUAGCUUAACUAAUGUAAGCCAUUGAAACUGGGUUUCUUGAGUUCGGUUGAGGUAGGCGGAAUGUGUUGUGUAGCGGUGAAAUGCAUAGAUAUAACACAGAACACCGAUUGCGAAGGCAGCUUACUAAGCCGUUACUGACGCUGAUGCACGAAAGCGUGGGUAUCAAACAGGAUUAGAUACCCUGGUAGUC